CUUGGUGCCAUUUCCAGGAAGGUCACACCCGUUCCCAUCCCGAACACGGCAGUUAAGCUUCCGCGGGCUGAUGGUAGUGCGUUUGCGCGAGAGUAGGUCGGCGCCAGGA
Molecule: ribosomal RNA, 109 nt
Filed under: Patescibacteria group bacterium
Lineage: Bacteria
Source: RNAcentral